GAUGAACGCUGGCGGCGUGCCUAAUACAUGCAAGUCGAGCGAACAGACGAGGAGCUUGCUCCUCUGACGUUAGCGGCGGACGGGUGAGUAACACGUGGAUAACCUACCUAUAAGACUGGGAUAACUUCGGGAAACCGGAGCUAAUACCGGAUAAUAUAUUGAACCGCAUGGUUCAAUAGUGAAAGACGGUUUUGCUGUCACUUAUAGAUGGAUCCGCGCCGCAUUAGCUAGUUGGUAAGGUAACGGCUUACCAAGGCAACGAUGCGUAGCCGACCUGAGAGGGUGAUCGGCAACACUGGACCUGAGCCACGGUCCAGACCCCUAGGGGAGGCAGCAGUAGGGAAUCUUCCGCAAUGGGCGAAAGCCUGACGGAGCAACGCCGCGUGGGUGAUGAAGGUCUCCGGAUCGUAAAACUCUGUUAUUAGGGAAGAACAAAUGUGUAAGUAACGAUGCACGUCUGGAGGGAACCUAAUCAGAAAGCCACGGCGAACUACGU
RNAcentral lists this ribosomal RNA (496 nucleotides) under uncultured bacterium. RNAcentral describes it as "partial 16S ribosomal RNA". It matches the Rfam family "Bacterial small subunit ribosomal RNA", at positions 28 to 506 of the family's 1533-position model. The record is from RNAcentral.